Molecule: ribosomal RNA, 253 nt
Filed under: uncultured bacterium
Lineage: Bacteria
Description: partial 16S ribosomal RNA
Rfam family: Bacterial small subunit ribosomal RNA
Source: RNAcentral
UACGUAGGGUACGAGCGUUAAUCGGAAUUACUGGGCGUAAAGCGUGCGCAGGCGGCUUUGCAAGACAGAUGUGAAAUCCCCGGGCUCAACCUGGGAACUGCAUUUGUGACUGCAAGGCUAGAGUACGGCAGAGGGGGAUGGAAUUCCGCGUGUAGCAGUGAAAUGCGUAGAUAUGCGGAGGAACACCAAUGGCGAAGGCAAUCCCCUGGGCCUGUACUGACGCUCAUGCACGAAAGCGGGGGGAGCAAACAGG